UACGUAGGGUCCGAGCGUUGUCCGGAAUUAUUGGGCGUAAAGGGCUCGUAGGCGGUCCGAUAAGUCGGCUGUGAAAGUCAGGGGCUCAACCCCUGAAUACCGGCCGAUACUGUCGGGCUAGAGUCCGGAAGAGGCGAGUGGAAUUCCCGGUGUAGCGGUGAAAUGCGCAGAUAUCUGGAGGAACACCGGUGGCGAAGGCGGCGUCCUGGACCAACACUGACACUGAGGAGCGAAAGCCAGGGGAGCAAACGGG
This 253-nucleotide ribosomal RNA is filed under the name uncultured bacterium. RNAcentral's name for it is "partial 16S ribosomal RNA". It matches the Rfam family "Bacterial small subunit ribosomal RNA", at positions 524 to 776 of the family's 1533-position model. The record is from RNAcentral.